Molecule: unclassified non-coding RNA, 343 nt
Filed under: soil metagenome
Description: partial contains 5.8S ribosomal RNA, internal transcribed spacer 2, and large subunit ribosomal RNA
Rfam family: 5.8S ribosomal RNA (bases 1-120)
Source: RNAcentral
GAUGAAGAACGUAGCGAAAUGCGAUAAGUAAUGUGAAUUGCAGAAUUCAGUGAAUCAUCGAAUCUUUGAACGCACAUUGCGCCCGCCAGUAUUCUGGCGGGCAUGCCUGUUCGAGCGUCAUUUCAACCCUCGAGCCCCCCCGGGGGCCUCGGUGUUGGGGGACGGCACACCAGCCGCCCCCGAAAUGCAGUGGCGACCCCGCCGCAGCCUCCCCUGCGUAGUAGCACACACCUCGCACCGGAGCGCGGAGGCGGUCACGCCGUAAAACGCCCAACUUUCUUAGAGUUGACCUCGGAUCAGGUAGGAAUACCCGCUGAACUUAAGCAUAUCAAUAAGCGGAGGA